This 517-nucleotide unclassified non-coding RNA is filed under the name Catasetum ochraceum. Its description in RNAcentral is "partial external transcribed spacer". The record is from RNAcentral. Lineage: Eukaryota; Viridiplantae; Streptophyta; Magnoliopsida; Asparagales; Orchidaceae.
UAUGACUACUGGCAGGAUCAACCAGGUAGCACGUCCUCAACACAACCAUGAUCUCACCCCUCUGCAACCAUACAUGUCAUAUGGCAGGAGGGGAGAGAACCAAAGUCGNACAGAGGCAAANGGCACUAUCGCUUGGAUAAAUCAACUCGAGCAUGGUGCCAUAACACCAAGACCCAAUUUCGAAGAGCCACAUUUGCGACAAUAUAUUGAGACCCUCAUCCCACCACCCAACAAAACGAGAAUAUCAUGCAACAUCGCCCGAAGCAAAGGGUGGAAGGGUCUCAUUCUCAKAGGGCGGCCUCCAUGCCUUGGAGGCAGGCAUAGAGGCUUAUCCACAAGGCAUCCACAAAAAUUAAUACCACCCACGUAAGGAUUCCCAAUGCAAGCAACUAUUAUAGAUCAAAAAUCGAUCUCCAAAAUAACAUCAGGAGCGACGAAGUGAAAAGACUGCCAUAAUGACAGUUGGCCACACAAAAGAAGCCACCGAUCAAUACUAGCANGGUCCGCAACAACCUCA